RNAcentral lists this unclassified non-coding RNA (200 nucleotides) under uncultured Antarctomyces. RNAcentral's name for it is "sequence contains ITS2". Lineage: Eukaryota; Fungi; Ascomycota; Leotiomycetes; Thelebolales; Thelebolaceae. The record is from RNAcentral.
UUAAGUUCAGCGGGUAUCCCUACCUGAUCCGAGGUCAACCUGAAAAAAUUGGGGGUUGUUGGCUAGUAACCACUCGGGUCUCCAAAGCGAGAAGAAUUACUACGCUUGAAGCCGAAUGGCACCGCCACUGAUUUUAAGGCCUGCAGAAACCUGCAGUGCCCAAUACCAAGCAGAGCUUGAGGGUUGUAAUGACGCUCGAA